RNAcentral lists this non-coding RNA (163 nucleotides) under unclassified sequences. RNAcentral's name for it is "raiA RNA". It matches the Rfam family "raiA RNA". The record is from Rfam by way of RNAcentral.
GGCGGUCAUGUUCGUGGUUGAAAGUCCAGGCCAGAUACGGGCGAAAGGAUCCACGUAAGCAGCCGCGGGGUGCGGCUGUGAUCAUGGCGUAUCUUAGAUGUAAGUCCUCCGGAAACCGGAUAAAGGCAAGUGUGGGGUCAAAGACCAGGUCGAGUGAUCCGCC